GAGAGUAUAGCUCAGUGGUAGAGCAUAUGCUUAGCAUGCAUGAGGUCCUGGGUUCAAUCCCCAGUACCUCCA
RNAcentral lists this transfer RNA (72 nucleotides) under Camelus bactrianus (Bactrian camel). It matches the Rfam family "tRNA". Rfam says of the family: Transfer RNA (tRNA) molecules are approximately 80 nucleotides in length. The record is from Rfam by way of RNAcentral. RNAcentral also lists the same sequence under 2 other names. Lineage: Eukaryota; Metazoa; Chordata; Mammalia; Artiodactyla; Camelidae.